UACGUAGGGGGCAAGCGUUACCCGGAUUCACUGGGCGUAAAGCGGGUGUAGGCGGCUCGGUAAGUCGGGUGUGAAAUCCCACGGCUCAACCGUGGAAUUGCGCCCGAAACUGCUGAGCUUGGGGCCGGUAGAGGGAGACGGAACUGCCGGUGUAGGGGUGAAAUCCGUAGAUAUCGGCAGGAACGCCGGUGGGGAAGCCGGUCUCCUGGGCCGCGCCCGACGCUGAGGCCCGAAAGCUAGGGGAGCAAACCGG
RNAcentral lists this ribosomal RNA (253 nucleotides) under uncultured bacterium. RNAcentral's name for it is "partial 16S ribosomal RNA". It matches the Rfam family "Bacterial small subunit ribosomal RNA", at positions 524 to 776 of the family's 1533-position model. The record is from RNAcentral.